Canis lupus familiaris (dog) is the source of this 2245-nucleotide long non-coding RNA. RefSeq lists it as uncharacterized. The record is from RefSeq and is a predicted model, not a curated record. Lineage: Eukaryota; Metazoa; Chordata; Mammalia; Carnivora; Canidae. The transcript has 4 exons.
GUUUCUUGGCAACCGAGGAUCUGUUUCCGUCGAGCCAGGCGCUGGGGGCCCCCUGCACCGGGCAGCCCUGGGCGCUGGUCAUAAGGACCCAGGAAUGUCAGCGUGAAGCAGCUACCGUCAUCUCACGGGAGGAUGCUCAACGCCCCAGGCCUGAGAGCGACCUGCCCUGGGCUCCAAGGAAGGGAGGCCGAUGGAGGCUACAGCCUUCUCCGUCCACAGCACCCAGAAAACAGCUAAUGCCCCCUGCCGCGUGGUGGGUGAAGGGAGAGUGACCAUCCCCCCCAGCCUGCCCGGGGCCGUCCCAGGCACGUCUGGGGCCCCCACGUACCAGUUAUUGGAAGCACCUCUCACUCUCAGUGUCGGUCGCAGGGACUGAGACACCCGCUCUCAACUCCAGGGCCAGCCGGGAGCUGCGUGAGCCUGGCAGGAAGGGUGGGGCACAGGUGCUGGACGACGAGCCACCUUGGCCAACAGGCCACAGGGAGCGUGAAACGGAGAAGUCGACACGCACACCCGCCCCGGAGGAGCCGCGGGGAAGGUCGAGGCAGGGCGCGGGAGAGACGCAGGGCCCGGCCGCUCCAGGCUCGCCAGUGGACCACGGGCGGUUCCCGAGCCGGGGCCUGAUGCGGUGCCCACGGCCCGGCCGCUCCUCGGCUCAGACUUCAGACGUGUGGUUCAAGAAAACAAAACCACCUAAACUUCUAGGUUCCUGCUCCUUUUCCAAGCCUGGUUCUCCAAGCUCCCCUUGAUUCUGCGAGAUACCUGGUCUCCCGCCAAGUCCCUCUCCAACCGCACGGGCGCUCAGGGGCGACGGUCCGGCCCUGCGCGGUGGCCCUGAGGCAGCCGAGCCAUCCCCUCGGCGGGGGCGGCCAGCAGGAGGCCGGCGUGGACCCCCGGGGUGGGGGUGCUGAGCAGACCCUGGCGGCGGGGGCCGUAUGGGCCCCGAUGAUUCCAGUUGCCGGGUGGCCGCUGUCAGAACUGGGGCUUCGAGGAAAGAAAACACACACCCCACCCCCCGAUUCCUGGUUUAGAGACUGAACCCCGGGCAUCUGCUGAGAUCGCAUUGCAAAACGUCUUCGCUCUGGAAGACGCCGGGGCAGGGUGACUCUUUCCAGUUAGUGUCCGCUUUUGAGGCGCUCAGACUCGGGGGCCCGUCACGCGAGCCAGGACAGCCAUCCACGAAGAACGGGCCCCCGGGACUUAGAAGGGGCGUUGAAUGCCGCUGCGGCCCCCAAAUCAGAGACGGAGCUCAGGCGACCUGGGGAUAAAUGGGCUCUGACCUGUGCCCCCUCGGGUGCAUCCGGGGUGCUCCCCUAACCCUCCCCGGUCUUUCUCCGGCUCCUCUGGGAUAGCACCUAGCGGAACAGUUGGCUCCUGACCCUGGGCCGAAGAGGAGCACAGUGGGGACCCCGCAUGCCGCCUGCUGCCGGCCCCAAAGCCCCGCCACGUUCCUGAGGAAUUUAUAGACAGAGAGGCCGCAGGCCCCGGACGCGAGGAACGCACUUGCUGCCCGAGCACGGCUGGUGGAUCAGAGACGGACGCGGCAUCCGUCACCCAGGGCUGGAUUCGGCCCCCGUGCACGCAGGUUUGCACAGACGCUCCCGUCUCAGGCACGUACCACAGGGUGGCCCCCAGAAGUCUGGACUGUUCCACGGUACCCCGGGCCACAUGGGGACCUCACACUGUAGGACGUGGUGCCUGGCCUGCCAGAGGAUGGAGGAGAAGCCCACGGGGGCGUGCGACCUCCCAGCGGAGCUGUGUGUGUGAGGGUCUGAUGGCCUGGGACGGGCCAGGACAUCCGUCCUCGUCCUCCAGCUGCUCAGAAAGAGGCCACAGGUUCAGGGACCUUGGUGGGUGGGGAGGACCCCCAGCUCCUGGCAGGACAGAGCCAAAGCAGACCCCAAGGACGGUCCCUGACGAGCAGGGACGAGCGGAGAUGCCUACGGCCCGCGAGAGGCUCCAGCAGCGCCAAACGAGAUUGUCGAGAUUGUCGGAGCCCCUCUAAAGCCCGGGGUAAUUGCUUCCAGGGGGUUUAUGGUCCCCGGGAGUCGCGAGCCACGCCCCCUCGGCCGGGAAGGCCGCAUUUCACCACCAAGGACACGACCCUGGGUAUUUACAGACGGUAAUGAGACUGUCCACUGCUCGAUGUUGCCAUAAAUAAGCGGCGAAACUGCUGAGUUUCACGCAAUUCUCCCUGAUUGCCUGGAAGGCCCCAUUAUUUUAAUAAAAAAACUAAUCAGCAGCC